AGAGGUGGCCAAGAAGCGGGAGAAGGGCAGAAAGGUCUGUAACUCUUUCCUUCCUCCCUAUCUUCCUCGGGCCCCGGCUCCUUUUUUUGUCUUCCUCCCCCCCCUUCCUCGUUUGCAACUUUCCUUCUCUGUCACUUUUCUCCCAGGAAACACAAGCUCCUUUCACAGAGCUCUCGUGUCCCAUUUUGCGCUAUUGUCUGCCGGGGAAAAUAGGGGGAAGAAAGAGCUUGUCCAUCAUGGCUCCUCCGGCGCGCACACACCCGUCCUUUGGAGCCAGCUUCUCCACCGACCUGGAAAAGACUUUUUUUGGGGGGGGGGGGGUGGGGAGGGCUCGGGAGAGCCCGGCCCCUCGGACACCCCAAACGGGACGAGGGGCGCUCUCCAAAGCGGCCUAGGGGCCUAGCUUGCCUCUUGCAUCCGUUUCACGUCGCCUUUCGGCCGCUCCGUGGGGCCUGGUUUUAAGCAUCCUUCCCACCCCCUUCGCCGCCGUUGUUGGGAAGCAGACCCUUCCCCUAAAUGUCCAAGGAAAUGUCCUGCAGAGGGCAGAUGCUUCUCCUUUCCUUCUUUCCCAUCGAUGGGCCUUGGAUGCCAGUCCUUGCCCAGCUCGCGUUUAUGACGCUCGGGGUGCCUGCCACCCCCUCCAAAAAAAAAAAAAAAAGGAAAAGAAAAAAGCCCCUCUUCUUUCCGGCCUCUCCCGGGAAGGUCCUCGGCCCGGAUCUGCCUGGGAAAUCUGGAAUUCGGACGAGGAGAGGAAAAGGACCGGUCCAAAGGAUUAAACCCAGAAGAGUACCGAUAGCAAGAGGCAAGAAGGAAAGUUCCUCCUUUUUGGAAGACGGGUCUCAAAUCAAGACAAAAGAUGAAGGGAAAGGAUAAACGCCCUGAAAAAAAAAAAAACAAACAACAAAAAACAACCACCCAAAACACAGCAACAGAAAAGGAAAGAAAAAGAUGCAUUCAGACCCUGGAGCGGAGAAUCCGGCGUGAAUAUCUCUAGGAAUCUCUCUGUACUGUCCAUGUCCGUGUGUCUUUCUGGAGUCAACAAACGACGGGCAAAACCAAAGAAAGACACCCCUGUGCCCAUUUCACGGAAAAAGACAAAAUUGCUAAAAGCGGGUUGAUUGGCAGAGCCGCGUUGAUAGUCCGAGAGAGAAAAGGCAACGUGGAUGCGGCUAAGAGUUGGGAAGUUAUCAACAAGAAACCUGCCAGUAUGUGCCUAAAAUUGAUUCCCCAAACUUCAAAGUAUAAAGGCAGGGAGGCGUUAUACAUCUCACUCAAAGCUCAGUCGAGAGCGGCACUGGUUUUCCUCUCCCCCCUGAAAAAUGGACGAGCUAGGCCAUUUGGACAUAUUCUUUAAAAAAAAAUAAAAUAAAGAUUUUUUUCAAUAAUUAGAACAAACGAUGAAGGUAUUGUGCAUUUCUGUUUUAUGUAGAUAAUAAAAUAUUACUUUAACAUAAAUAUAUAAGGAUCUCUGCGUUUUUAUUUUUUCCCCACAAGCACAUCCAAAUGUACCAAAAACAAAGUAUUUUUAAAGAGACCGAACCAAAAGAAAAAAAAAUUACAUCCCAUAUAGAUUUUGUUCACCUACUCAUUUAAAGCUACAGAAAACAGUUUCCAGAACCUUUUUUGCUUUAAAAGAAAUAAAUAUACAUUGAGGCAGGCCACUUCAAAAUGAUAUGAAAAUAUUUCCCUGGGUAGCAUUUAAAAAAAAAGAAAAAUAGACAAAGGAACAUUUGAACUAUUUUUGCGUUUCAAAAGACAAAUAUUAAACAUAUAUAUAUUUAUAUAUAUACAGUGGUAAGGUUUGAGUGGUAACUUUUUUUUUUUUUUGAGUAAACCUGUUUUAAGUUCAAAGAUCUACAGACACAUCCCCUGAACUCCAUUUUCUGACCUUACCCACAUAUUAAUAAGCGUCUGAAAGUUAAUUUCCUCCCUUUACCACUGGACCUUUGCCCUGCUCUGGUAUUACUUCACUAAGAACGAGUCCCCAAAAUCGAAAUAACAAGCAGCUUGAUAUAUCCCAAAGCUCAGUGUCCGUACCAUUUUGACAACCGUUGGGAAAAUGUAAAAAGGGCAAAUAAAUAUGCCUCUUAAAAACCAUAAUUCAUCUCGCGAAAAACAUGUAGAAAUCAAACGACAGAGGCGUUUGAGAAGACAAUAAAAAGCGUAGCGUCUCAGACCCUAGCAAUCGAAUGCAAUGUUAAUCUGAUGCUGGACCAUGAUUUUACGGGAGUGAAAGGGCGUCUAUUGUUUUUUUUCUUUCUUUUUUUUUUUAAAAAAAAACCACCCCAAAACAAAAACUUGCCUAUCACUCAACUAGGAAAAACAAAUCAAACUUUUUUAGUUUCAUAAAAACGAUCAUUUUCCGUUGGGGGGGCCUUUUGUGCUGAAUUCGGUUUGUUUUUUGUUUUUCUUGAACAUCACAGUUUGUUGCGUCCCGUCCCCCCCCCCCCCACCCCCAAUAGUUUCAAGACUCGCUCCUAAAAUUCCCUGUGGAGUCUUUUGUUUGGGGAAAGUUAACCGUUUUCCGCCAAGAUAAGGUCAAGAAACGCACCGAAAUCUAUUAACAAAAGGGAGAAAGGGAUGGAUUGAGAAAGGGCUUCUUCUUUUUUUUUUUUUUUUUUUUUGCUUUCUUUCUUUCCACUUCAUUUGGCUCCGCUAGUGAAAGAGAAAAAGCGAUCUAAGUCAAAUGGAUGGGAGACGGGGUGUGUGUGUGUGUGUGUAAAUUGGGAAAGAAAACCCCGGGAGAAGCGACACAAAACCAAGGCGUUAUAGGGGAGCGAAGGCGCGCUCUGUCGUCGUCCCCUCCAUCCGCUUCAUCCCUGUGCUCCGGGGGGAUGUAUCUGGGGGGAGAACGAUGGAGGUUUCGGGAGGAUGUGUUACGGUGGAUCUACGGGUGGGGAGGGUGAGGUGAUUUUUGACGACUAAAGGCACACGGAGAACUUUCGAUGGAGGGUCUGAGAAGUCACUAACAUAGGACCCGGCGCUCCAUCCCUGGCACAUUUAACCAAUCCCUCUCCUCCCAGGGUUUUCCAACCGGGUCCUGCAAAGAUGAAGCUCUCCAUUUCCCUCCCCUCUUGCCCCAGAACCCUUCCCUUCAAAGAAAAACAGGAAAUAUGAAGUUUACGUGGCCGGUGGCAAUAAAAUGCGAGCUCGGUUGUUUUUGUUCUUUUCGUAUUUGCCUGGGCCAGGACCCGGCCCCGGAUGAACCGGCCACUUUUCUGGAGGGAGGAAAGGGUUUAUGCUGAACGAAGCCACUCGUCACUCUGCCAAAUAAACGUUACACCGGUGUGGGAAGGCCUCCCGGGGGGUCCACCAAAGUUUUAACCAACGUCUAAGGAAAAGUGGCGACCUUGGGCAUUUUCUCUCUAGCGGUCGGUCACGGACUAGGAAACCUCUCUGACUAAAAACGCAAAUCGGUCUCCAAAGGAAUGUCGAAGGGGUAGGGAGGGGAAGAGCAGAUUUUCCCCGAUUUCUUCCCGUCCACUUUUAUUUGGGGGGGGGGGGGGAAGGGAGAGGGGAGCGGAUUUUCCUGGAUUUCUUCCCGUAAACUUUUAUUUUUCUUGCAGUGCAAAUCCAUACGGCUAAAUCCAUCAAAAUCCACACUAGAGAGAGAGAGAGAGAGAGAGAGAAUGUGUGUGCCUGUGUGUGUGUGUGCGCGUAUCUUUUUCCUUUCCUGAUGGGGCUCUCCCAGAAAUAAAACACGACAGCAUGGGCCAGCUCUGAGCAUCUUUCCAGGAUGGGCGCUGCUUUGUGUCUGCCUGAUUUUGGGGGUCAUUUUUUGGAGGGGAGAGUUGAAUUUAGUUUGGCCAAGAACUUAACCCGGGUGCCUGUGCGGAUGGGGGCUACUCACUCCAUCGUACUUUCCAAGCCCUUCGGACAGUGCUCCGCACACUGCCAGCGCUCAGUAAAAACGAUCG
This 3917-nucleotide long non-coding RNA is filed under the name Ornithorhynchus anatinus (platypus). RNAcentral's name for it is "lncRNA (ENSOANG00000040759.1)". The record is from RNAcentral. Lineage: Eukaryota; Metazoa; Chordata; Mammalia; Monotremata; Ornithorhynchidae.